UACGUAGGUGGCAAGCGUUGUCCGGAUUUACUGGGCGUAAAGAGCGCGCAGGCGGUCGGAUAAGUCGAAUGUGAAAGCCCCCGGCUCAACUGGGGAGGGUCAUUCGAUACUGUUCGACUCGAAGGCAGGAGAGGGAAGUGGAAUUCCCGGUGUAGUGGUGAAAUGCGUAGAUAUCGGGAGGAACACCAGUGGCGAAGGCGCACACCUGGCCCGAUACUGACGCUGAGGCGCGAAAGCUAGGGGAGCAAACAGG
RNAcentral lists this ribosomal RNA (253 nucleotides) under uncultured bacterium. Its description in RNAcentral is "partial 16S ribosomal RNA". It matches the Rfam family "Bacterial small subunit ribosomal RNA", at positions 524 to 776 of the family's 1533-position model. The record is from RNAcentral.